This 798-nucleotide ribosomal RNA is filed under the name Trametes versicolor. RNAcentral's name for it is "eukaryotic LSU rRNA". The stretch from base 254 to 407 matches the Rfam family "5.8S ribosomal RNA". Lineage: Eukaryota; Fungi; Basidiomycota; Agaricomycetes; Polyporales; Polyporaceae. The record is from RNAcentral.
CUUGGUCAUUUAGAGGAAGUAAAAGUCGUAACAAGGUUUCCGUAGGUGAACCUGCGGAAGGAUCAUUAACGAGUUUUGAAACGAGUUGUAGCUGGCCUUCCGAGGCAUGUGCACGCUCUGCUCAUCCACUCUACCCCUGUGCACUUACUGUAGGUUGGCGUGGGUUCCUUAACGGGAACAUUCUGCCGGCCUAUGUAUACUACAAACACUUUAAAGUAUCAGAAUGUAAACGCGUCUAACGCAUCUAUAAUACAACUUUUAGCAACGGAUCUCUUGGCUCUCGCAUCGAUGAAGAACGCAGCGAAAUGCGAUAAGUAAUGUGAAUUGCAGAAUUCAGUGAAUCAUCGAAUCUUUGAACGCACCUUGCGCUCCUUGGUAUUCCGAGGAGCAUGCCUGUUUGAGUGUCAUGGAAUUCUCAACUUAUAAAUCCUUGUGAUCUAUAAGCUUGGACUUGGAGGCUUGCUGGCCCUUGUUGGUCGGCUCCUCUUGAAUGCAUUAGCUCGAUUCCGUACGGAUCGGCUCUCAGUGUGAUAAUUGUCUACGCUGUGACCGUGAAGUGUUUUGGCGAGCUUCUAACCGUCCAUUAGGACAACUUUUUAACAUCUGACCUCAAAUCAGGUAGGACUACCCGCUGAACUUAAGCAUAUCAAUAAGCGGAGGAAAAGAAACUAACAAGGAUUCCCCUAGUAACUGCGAGUGAAGCGGGAAAAGCUCAAAUUUAAAAUCUGGCGGUCUUUGGCCGUCCGAGUUGUAGUCUGGAGAAGCGUCUUCCGCGCUGGACCGUGUACAAGUCUCCUA